Molecule: unclassified non-coding RNA, 338 nt
Filed under: soil metagenome
Description: partial contains 5.8S ribosomal RNA, internal transcribed spacer 2, and large subunit ribosomal RNA
Rfam family: 5.8S ribosomal RNA (bases 1-120)
Source: RNAcentral
GAUGAAGAACGCAGCGAAAUGCGAUAAGUAGUGUGAAUUGCAGAAUUCAGUGAAUCAUCGAAUCUUUGAACGCACAUUGCGCCCCAUGGUAUUCCGUGGGGCAUGCCUGUUCGAGCGUCAUUUACCCCCUCAAGCUCCGCUUGGUGUUGGGCGUCUGUCCCGCUUCGCGCGCGGACUCGCCCCAAAGGUAUUGGCAGCGGUCGUGCCAGCUUCUCGCGCAGCACAUUGCGCUUCUCGAGGCACCGGUGGGCCCGCGUCCAUCAAGCUCACCCCCCCAGUUUGACCUCGGAUCAGGUAGGGAUACCCGCUGAACUUAAGCAUAUCAAUAAGCGGAGGAA